Molecule: ribosomal RNA, 277 nt
Filed under: uncultured Prevotella sp.
Lineage: Bacteria; Pseudomonadati; Bacteroidota; Bacteroidia; Bacteroidales; Prevotellaceae
Description: partial 16S ribosomal RNA
Rfam family: Bacterial small subunit ribosomal RNA
Source: RNAcentral
CUUUCCUUGAUGACGACUGGCGCACGGGUGAGUAACGCGUAUCCAACCUUCCCAUAACUACGGGAUAACCCGUUGAAAGACGGCCUAAUACCGUAUGAUAUCGUUUGCUGACAUCAAAUAACGAUUAAAGGUUUAGCGGUUAUGGAUGGGGAUGCGUCUGAUUAGCUUGUUGGCGGGGUAACGGCCCACCAAGGCAACGAUCAGUAGGGGUUCUGAGAGGAAGGUCCCCCACAUUGGAACUGAGACACGGUCCAAACUCCUACGGGAGGCAGCAGCC